Magnolia sinica is the source of this 4852-nucleotide RNA transcript. It is a transcript of the gene named protein ALTERED PHOSPHATE STARVATION RESPONSE 1-like, with no coding region annotated. NCBI's taxonomy places the organism in Eukaryota, Viridiplantae, Streptophyta, Magnoliopsida, Magnoliales, Magnoliaceae. The transcript has 5 exons. The record is from RefSeq and is a predicted model, not a curated record.
UCCCUCACAUCAAACCCAUGAUCUCCCAUCCAUCCGAUAAAAUAGACGGUCCAGAUACCAAUCAAACGUACGUGUCUCACGUGCGGCAGCGAUUAGAUCUGCGUGUGGGAAAGACAAAAGAAACCCGGGAACAGAAAUAACAAAGUACAGUGAUCUACUCUCUCUCCUCCACUAACCUACACCGCAGCGUACACGAUGCGCACUACGCACAGCCCCUCUUCCAUCCCUUCACCUCGUUGCUGCAGCAAGCCGACGACAGUCUCCUUGCUGUCAAGAUUCCCUUCUCUGUCAUCCUACCUUUCUUAUCCCUUCAUCACCUAUCCCAACCAAACCCCACCACCAUCAUAACCGUCAGCGCCAUAAUCUCAAGCCCUAGCUCCAGCCAUGGGCUGUACAGGUUCCAAGCUAGACGAUCUUCCGGCCCUCGUCCUCUGCCGUGAACGCGCCCAACUCCUCGAGUCCGCCAUCCGAUACCGUUACAUGCUUUCACAAUCUCAUCUUUCCUACACCCAAUCCCUCCACUCUCUCGGCAUCUCACUACACCGCUUCUUCGAUGUGGACGCCCACAACGAAGCUCCGUUGUCCCCAAUCUUGCAGCUCCCGACACAAAGGAAGCUCGACCCGGAUCCGGAUCCCGUUCCCGUCGUCCGUCCUCCAUCGCUGUCCUCAAACCCUCCGCAGAUCCCGGCCGUUCAUCACUCCCGAUCCAAUUCCGGCUCUCACCUGCAUUUCCAUUCCUCCGACUCUGAUAACGACUCCGACGCUCACUUAUCCCCUCUUCAUGAUGACAACAUCCAUGGAUUCGUCCACGACAACACCCAGAUGCCGCCACGGUAUAAUGCUUACUACAUGCAGAACCGGCCCACCGUGCCCUCUGUCGAGACCGUCAAUUACAGUGAGCCGUCAUCCUCUUACUCCUACCCUUAUAAUUACUCGAAUUACGGUUACAACGAUUACGGCAGCUUGUUUGGAUCGGCGUCGAUGCCGCCGCCGCCGCAGCAGCAGCAGCCACACUACUCUUCUUACCCGUCAUCGUCGUUGCAUCCUCCCAUGGAGCCUGCGGCGGAAGCUUCAACGUCUCGGCCGCCUCCCCCACCACCUUCUCCUCCGAGGGCUUCGGCGUGGGAAUUUCUGAACCCUUUCGGUAUGUUUGAGAGUAGCUAUCCUACGCCGUACACCCCCAGCCGCGACUCGAAGGAUGUGAGAGAGGAGGAAGGGAUCCCUGAUCUGGAAGACGAGGAAUACCAGCACGAGGUUGUUAAAGAGGUCCAUGGCGAGCAGAAGCUUGCAGCGGAUGCUGCCGACGGUGGCAGGUACUUGAAUGUGGAGAACAGAGGACUUGGUGGGGAUGCGGUGUACCAGGAGAGACGGAGCGGGUUCGGCCAGAGUGAGGAAGUGGAAUAUGAGGUGCACAUGGUGGAGAAGAAUGUAGUUGCGAAUGAGGAGCGGCCGCCGGAGGACCGCCGGAGGAAUGUGGGUGCGGUGAAGACGCUUGGGGGUUCGUUGAGUGUUUUGGAGGUCGUGGGAGAAAUCAAGGCACAGUUCGAUAGAGCGUCAGAAUCAGGGAGCGAGGUCUCAAAGAUGCUUGAAGUGGGAAAGCUUCCGUACCGCGGGAAGAACGCCAUUCAUAAAGUGUCUUCCAAGAUGUUGGAUGUGAUUACUCCCUUAUCUGUGGUAUCUUCACAGCCUUCUACUUCUAAAAGUGCUGAAGAGUUGCCGUCUAGUGAUAAUGUCAGUUCUCUUUCCGUGGAUUUUGAUAAAGACAUGGGGAUGAAGUCAGGAAAUCUUUCUUGCACAUUGGAGAAACUAUACAUUUGGGAGAAGAAACUUUAUGAAGAAGUCAAGGCUGAGGAAAAGAUGCGGAUAAUCCAUGAGAGAAAGAGCAGGCGGCUGCAACAUUUGGAUGAAAAGGGUGCGGAGUCUCAUAAAGUUGAUGACACUCGAACUACAGUCUUGAAGUUAUCCACAAAAAUUAGAAUAGCCAUUCAGGUUGUUGACUCCAUCUCAAAUAAGAUAAGUACGUUGAGGGACGAAGAGUUGUGGCCACAGACUAAUGAAUUAAUUCAAGGGCUACUAAGAAUGUGGAAAGUCAUGCUUGAAUGCCAUCGGAGUCAGUGUCAGAUCAUAACCGAAGCUAAAAACCUAGAUGCUAUCGCCUCCAGUAGAAAGUUUAGUGAUGCUCACAUGAAAGAGACUGUGCAGCUUGAGCUGGAUCUGCUGAACUGGAUUUUAAGCUUCUAUGCCUGGAUUGGUGCCCAGAAGGGAUAUGUCAAAGCAUUGAACGGAUGGCUUUUGAAGUUCAUUCACUACGUGCCAGAACAAACAGUGGAUGGUAUCGCUCCCUUCUCCCCCGGUAGGAUGGGCGCUCCUCCUGUGUUUGUUAUAUGUAAUCAAUGGUCGCAAGCUAUGGAAAGGAUCUCAGAGAAUGAAGUCUUUGUGGCUAUGCGAAGCUUUUCCAUGAGUGUGCUCCAACUCUGGGAACAUCACAACAUGGUUGAGCGUCAGAGUAUGAUUGUCAAUAAGGACAUGGACAGUAGGAUCAAGGCCCUCGAGAGGGAGCAGCAAAAGAUGCAUAAGGCGGUGGACACGGUAAACAAGAAGCUAGUGCUGGUUUCUGAGGAGAGUGGACUUCCACGGCCUGAGCUUAUUAAUGAAAGCUAUACUGCCAAUGUCGAUAGUUUACAGGUGGGUCUGAAACAGAUUUUUGAGGCCAUGGAGAAGUUCAGUGCUGAAUCCAUGAAAGCUUACGAGGAGCUCCAUACGCGGAGUGAAGAAGAGAGGCUAGCCCAGGAGAAUGCAAAAGCUCAGUAGAGUUCAGUGCUCAGUUCAUCUGGAUUGUGCAUUGGUUAGAGAACAUCAAGUACUGCAGAUCUUUUGGUCAAGUCGGGUUUGAAUUUGAGAAGCCAUUAUAAUAAUGGCUGAGAGAGAUGAUCUGGUUUAUGCCCUGAUGGCCGAGAGAGAUGGUCUGGUUAAUGGCCGUCUAAAUCUUCAAUCGGCUGUGUGAUUCGAUAAGCGCAAGGAUAUGCACACAUAAAGGAGCAAGUUAGCGGCUACUCAGGGGAAGAGAAAUGUGAUGACUGACUGUGGGAGUAAGAUGGCUACUGCUCCUAUGACUUGUUCUUGCCAUUGUGGCAUGUGCAUAUGAGAUCUGCACCAUCCAUCAGGUGGCUCCCACUGUGUAUGUGCCAUUCAUGUGGGCCACAAGUGUAUGGAAAUGUUUUUGAAAAAACUUCACCAGUGGUCUGCAUUUGUUGUACAUGUCUGGCUUCCCUGAUGACCAGACUCGCCUGAAUUUUGGGCUGAAGCCAAUAAAAACAGUGGGCCCCACCUGAAGAACAUCCUGGAUCUUGCAGACAUGGGAGAGUGGGAUAUGAAAUCCUGCUCCGGGGAGUAGCUGUAGCAGGGAUUUUUGACAGAGGUACUCUCUAGCUUGAUCUGAUCUUGUCAAAGGCUAUGGUCCUGGAUUUGCGGAACUGUUGAGCAUGAUCCUCUCCACAGGUUGAUGAUCUGGCAUCCAGGACUAUGGAUCGAAGCCAGGCUGCUUUCCAAAAUCUCUGCAGUCUCGUUAUGUCUUCUAUCAUUGGCGUGGGUUACAAAGCAUUGCCGAUAUGAAGACAAGAAUCGAAAAGCAUGGUUGACCCGCCCAUAUCUCCUGCCAGUUGACUUCAUGAUGCACACAGAUCUAUCUGCAUGCUGGUUUUCCAAUGACUGGGGAGAUUCAAGCCUGAGGCUGAGUUGAUACACUGCAUUGAGUGAAGAAGUUUCUUAAUCACUUGUAGUGCACCCAGAAAUGGGUGAGAUGCCAAUACGGAUGGAUUCUACUCGGAACGCUACCUGUUGUCUUCAACUCUCAAUCAGCAAAGCUGAGGCUGAGUUGAAACAACAGAUCCGAGUAAAAAUCACUUUAGUUCUGACAGAAAUGGAUGAGAAGCCAAUCAGAGCAGUCCCUACAGCACAAACAAGAUAUCCGGGGUUGAUAUCUUCAACAUCUUCUUGAUCAGCGUCCUUGAGGCCAAGAGUCAAAACAACAGAUGCUGAGAAAAGAUCGAUUUGGUUAUGAAUGAAAUGGGUGAGAAGCUGAUAUUAACAGUUCCUACUCCAACUCGUAUAUCAGGGUCUGAUAUCUGGACCCUUGGUCAACAACCACGAGGCUGAGUUGAAACAAAUAGAUGGGAGUAAAGAAGGUUAUCAGUCACUUUGGUUCUAACAGAAAUGGAUGUGAAGCCAACCUGAAAUGGUUUCCACUCUGAACGAUAUUUGAGGAUCCAGUAUCUUCAAGCUCACUGAGAUCAGUGAUAUCUACGUGCCCUUGGCAGAAUUUUGAUCCGCAUUUGGAGGAAUCGAAGGUUAUGAGCUGCCGUUAGGGUGAGAAGCGGGGAUGCGAUCUCAAGGUAUGCAUCAAUUCAUCUGUUACGGAACUGGUAUUUGGAGCGUGUAGAUUGAACUGGGCCAUGCAUUAUGUAUAUCUUCAGGUGGUGUAGAUUGAAGUGCCAUGCGUUAGGUAUAUCCUCAAGUGGUGCCAGCAGUUGUCGGCAUUGUCAAAGAAUAUCUGCCGAUACAUAUGGUGGAAAUAUAAAAAUCCACUUCUUUUAUGCAGGUUUUGAGGAGAAGCUGUGGAAAAGGAAAGGAUCUUCUCAGCCAUUUUUAUGCAAAGCCUGUUUUCAUUUUCACAUGAUUCUAAGGUAAUUUUAACUAUUUAAACAUCCCAACUAAGGUGAAAGUGAUGGUAAUGUCCGUCCUACCCAGCCCUAGCCCAGCCCUGGACCUAGUCCCAUAGGGCUGACGUUGUGGGGAAAAGUGUGGCGCAAUCAAGGGUUUGAAAUGGUAGGAAUAUAGGAAAUCUUUUACAGUA